GGCGGACGGGUUGAGUAACGCGUUGGGAACGUGCCCUUCUCUAUGGAAUAGCCACUGGAAACGGUGAGUAAUACCAUAUACGCCCUUCGGGGGAAAGAUUUAUCGGAGAAGGAUCGGCCCGCGUUAGAUUAGGUAGUUGGUGGGGUAAUGGCCUACCAAGCCUACGAUCUAUAGCUGGUUUUAGAGGAUGAUCAGCCACACUGGGACUGAGACACGGCCCAGACUCCUACGGGAGGCAGCAGUGGGGAAUCUUAGACAAUGGGCGCAAGCCUGAUCUAGCCAUGCCGCGUGAGUGAUGAAGGCCUUAGGGUCGUAAAGCUCUUUCGCCAGAGAUGAUAAUGACAGUAUCUGGUAAAGAAACCCCGGCUAACUCCGUGCCAGCAGCCGCGGUAAUACGGAGGGGGUUAGCGUUGUUCGGAAUUACUGGGCGUAAAGCGCAC
RNAcentral lists this ribosomal RNA (440 nucleotides) under uncultured Leisingera sp. Its description in RNAcentral is "bacterial SSU rRNA". It matches the Rfam family "Bacterial small subunit ribosomal RNA", at positions 97 to 570 of the family's 1533-position model. The record is from RNAcentral. Lineage: Bacteria; Pseudomonadati; Pseudomonadota; Alphaproteobacteria; Rhodobacterales; Roseobacteraceae.